This 497-nucleotide ribosomal RNA is filed under the name uncultured bacterium. RNAcentral describes it as "partial 16S ribosomal RNA". It matches the Rfam family "Bacterial small subunit ribosomal RNA", at positions 28 to 507 of the family's 1533-position model. The record is from RNAcentral.
GACGAACGCUGGCGGCGUGCCUAAUACAUGCAAGUUGAGCGCUGAAGGUAGGUACUUGUACCAACUGGAUGAGCAGCGAACGGGUGAGUAACGCGUGGGGAAUCUGCCUUUGAGCAGGGGACAACAUUUGGAAACGAAUGCUAAUACCGCAUAAAAACUUUAAACACAAGUUUUAAGUUUGAAAGAUGCAAUUGCAUCACUCAAAGAUGAUCCCGCGUUGUAUUAGCUAGUUGGUGAGGUAAAGGCUCACCAAGGCGAUGAUACAUAGCCGACCUGAGAGGGUGAUCGGCCACAUUGGGACUGAGACACGGCCCAAACUCCUACGGGAGGCAGCAGUAGGGAAUCUUCGGCAAUGGACGAAAGUCUGACCGAGCAACGCCGCGUGAGUGAAGAAGGUUUUCGGAUCGUAAAACUCUGUUGGUAGAGAAGAACGUUGGUGAGAGUGGAAAGCUCACCAAGUGACGGUAACUACCCAGAAAGGGACGGCUAACUACGUG